Molecule: ribosomal RNA, 497 nt
Filed under: uncultured bacterium
Lineage: Bacteria
Description: partial 16S ribosomal RNA
Rfam family: Bacterial small subunit ribosomal RNA
Source: RNAcentral
GACGAACGCUGGCGGCGUGCCCAAUACAUGCAAGUAGAACGCUGAAGCGAGGAGCUUGCUCUUCUUGGAUGAGUUGCGAACGGGUGAGUAACGCGUAGGUAACCUGCCUUGUAGCGGGGGAUAACUAUUGGAAACGAUAGCUAAUACCGCAUAACAAUGGAUGACACAUGUCAUUUAUUUGAAAGGGGCAAUUGCUCCACUACAAGAUGGACCUGCGUUGUAUUAGCUAGUAGGUGAGGUAAUGGCUCACCUAGGCGACGAUACAUAGCCGACCUGAGAGGGUGAUCGGCCACACUGGGAAUGAGACACGGCCCAGACUCCUACGGGAGGCAGCAGUAGGGAAUCUUCGGCAAUGGGGGCAACCCUGACCGAGCAACGCCGCGUGAGUGAAGAAGGGUUUCGGAUCGUAAAGCUCUGUUGUAAGUCAAGAACGGGUGUGAGAGUGGAAAGUUCACACUGUGACGGUAGCUUACCAGAAAGGGACGGCUAACUACGUG